CUUGGAUAGGUGUAGCGAUAUGGUGAUGACUCAACCCUGCUGUGUAAUGGACUGAUGGGGCUUGGAUAGGUGUAGUGAUAUGGUGAUGACUCAACCCUGCUGUGUUGUCCUGAUGGGGCUUGGAUAGGUGUAGUGAUAUGGUGAUGACUCAACCCUGCUGUGUUGUCCUGAUGGGGCUUGGAUAGGUGUAGUGAUAUGGUGAUGACUCAACCCUGCUGUGUAAUGGACUGAUGGGGCUUGGAUAGGUGUAGUGAUAUGGUGAUGACUCAACCCUGCUGUGUAAUGG
Long non-coding RNA from Oncorhynchus keta (chum salmon), 286 nucleotides. RefSeq lists it as uncharacterized. The transcript has 3 exons. NCBI's taxonomy places the organism in Eukaryota, Metazoa, Chordata, Actinopteri, Salmoniformes, Salmonidae. The record is from RefSeq and is a predicted model, not a curated record.